CCUACGGGAGGCUGCAGUGGGGAAUAUUGCACAAUGGGCGCAAGCCUGAUGCAGCCAUGCCGCGUGUGUGAAGAAGGCCUUCGGGUUGUAAAGCACUUUCAGCGGGGAGGAAGGCGGUGAGGUUAAUAACCUCAUCGAUUGACGUUACCCGCAGAAGAAGCACCGGCUAACUCCGUGCCAGCAGCCGCGGUAAUACGGAGGGUGCAAGCGUUAAUCGGAAUUACUGGGCGUAAAGCGCACGCAGGCGGUCUGUCAAGUCGGAUGUGAAAUCCCCGGGCUCAACCUGGGAACUGCAUUCGAGACUGGCAGGCUAGAGUCUUGUAGAGGGGGGUAGAAUUCCAGGUGUAGCGGUGAAAUGCGUAGAGAUCUGGAGGAAUACCGGUGGCGAAGGCGGCCCCCUGGACAAAGACUGACGCUCAGGUGCGAAAGCGUGGGGAGCAAACAGGAUUAGAUACCCGAGUAGUC
This 465-nucleotide ribosomal RNA is filed under the name uncultured Klebsiella sp. RNAcentral describes it as "bacterial SSU rRNA". It matches the Rfam family "Bacterial small subunit ribosomal RNA", at positions 338 to 795 of the family's 1533-position model. The record is from RNAcentral. Lineage: Bacteria; Pseudomonadati; Pseudomonadota; Gammaproteobacteria; Enterobacterales; Enterobacteriaceae.